This 359-nucleotide long non-coding RNA is filed under the name Ananas comosus (pineapple). RNAcentral's name for it is "long non-coding RNA (ACOM_LNC031212)". The record is from RNAcentral. Lineage: Eukaryota; Viridiplantae; Streptophyta; Magnoliopsida; Poales; Bromeliaceae.
CCCAAUAAAAAAAAAAAUAAACAUGCUUCAAAUGAGUUGAAAUUAUUGGCUUAAAUGGGGUCAGCAUCAUGCCUUGUGGCAGGAGGUUAUGUUAGGCCUAGUCAUGUUCGAAAUAGCGGGAGGCUAGGUUGGCCGAAUCAUGUUCGAAGUGGCGAGAGACUGGAUGGGUCAAGUCACAAUCGAGACUCGUGGACGUUGUAUCUAUACGCUUUAAGUGAAUUAGUUGCCUAUUUCUAACGGCUCGAGUUUUUGGAAUUAAUGGUUAACGCCAACGAUUCGACAAAAAUGAACCCCUCGUGAUCAUCUCCUCUUUAUUAACUACUCAAUUAUUAUUAUUAUUAUUAUUAUUAUUAUUAGAU